RNAcentral lists this ribosomal RNA (497 nucleotides) under uncultured bacterium. Its description in RNAcentral is "partial 16S ribosomal RNA". It matches the Rfam family "Bacterial small subunit ribosomal RNA", at positions 28 to 507 of the family's 1533-position model. The record is from RNAcentral.
GAUGAACGCUGGCGGCGUGCCUAAUACAUGCAAGUCGAGCGAACAGACGAGGAGCUUGCUCCUCUGACGUUAGCGGCGGACGGGUGAGUAACACGUGGAUAACCUACCUAUAAGACUGGGAUAACUUCGGGAAACCGGAGCUAAUACCGGAUAAUAUAUUGAACCGCAUGGUUCAAUAGUGAAAGACGGUUUUGCUGUCACUUAUAGAUUGAUCCGCGCCGCAUUAGCUAGUUGGUAAGGUAACGGCUUACCAAGGCGACGAUGCGUAGCCGACCUGAGAGCGUGAUCGGCCACACUGGAAGUGAGAAACGGUCCAGACUCCUACGGGAGGAAGCAGUAGGGAAUCUUCCGCAAUGGGCGAAAGCCUGACGGAGCAACGCCGCGUGAGUGAUGAAGGUCUUCGGAUCGUAAAACUCUGUUAUUAGGGAAGAACAAAUGUGUAAGUAACUAUGCACGUCUUGACGGUACCUAAUCAGAAAGCCACGGCUAACUACGUG